Amborella trichopoda is the source of this 772-nucleotide long non-coding RNA. RefSeq lists it as uncharacterized. NCBI's taxonomy places the organism in Eukaryota, Viridiplantae, Streptophyta, Magnoliopsida, Amborellales, Amborellaceae. The record is from RefSeq and is a predicted model, not a curated record.
UCUCUCUCUCUCUUCCCCUGUCCCACCAAGCUCCAUGUCUUCUUUCCAUCUCUCUCUCUGGUCCCCAAAGCUCUUUCUCCGUCUCCCCUAUUUUUACUGCGCCCCCCUUUCCACCAAGCGCUCAACGUGGAACCCAAUGCAAAAAGUGCAAGGACGAGGGAUAGAUCAGAAUCAGCCAUAAUCUCUAACCAAAAUCAGAAUGGAAUGAAAGUUAUCAAAGUUUCCAUGUUUCUUGUUGGAUUAGCUUGAGGCAUGAGGGUUGGAUCAACAAUGAAUAUGGACUUGAGGCUUGGGGAUUGGAUCAACAAUGAAUAUGAGCUUGAGGCUUUGGUUGGCUUUGGUAUGGGUAUGGCAUAUGUUGUUGCCUUUUCAAGAAUUGUUUUUGUGAAUAUAUGAUAGAAAUUGCCGGAAAUAAAGAAAUUUGAUGAAAGUCUCAUAGGCUGCUGCUUUGAUCCUGAUGUGCUUGAGGGUUUGGUAUGGUUAUGGCAUAUGUUGCUACCUUUGUUAUAUUGACAAGCCUUGGGUUUUACGCAUGCCACAGUCAUUUGUAACUUUAGGUAGCAUGGAAUUUGAGGCAAUGGUUCAAUGCCCAAAUAUUACUGGUGCUUACUACAGGGAAGGUUAUAAGUUAUUGAAUGUAAUAUGUAAUGUAAUUGAUUGUAUUUUUCCUUGAUGGAAUGAUCACAAUCUUUUUCUUCUUUUUUUUUUCAAGAAUUGUGUUUACGAAUAUAUGACUGAAAUUACUGGAAAUAAAGAAAAUUGAUGAAAGUCU